UGCCUGUUAGUGAAACCGCGUCGGAUUUCCCCUUCUCCAGCUCUGAAGCAACAUCACCCCGCUCUAUUUUGCUCGUUUCAACCCCGUGAUGGCGACGCCCAGCGUCGAUUCAGCUACCUACCACGCAAACUCGCCAAAUCCACAUCUCAUGGCGCUUGUGCGUGAUCCGUGAUCGUCGCAUUGUACUUCCACUGUGUCGAAACGUCUCCAUAAAGUAUCAUUUUAAAUAACCAAACCACUGAGAAACGGUGAUCGAUUCAAAAUCCCGUCUAUGUAAUCGGUACUUGAGAUUCUUGAGAUCGAAGUGUAACUAAAGGGAAAGAAGAGAAUGGUGUGUUGUGAUGUUUAGAGUGUCCUUUGCCCUUGCUAAUAGUAAAAUAGAAGAGAUGUAACUGAAUGGACGAAGUAAUUUUCCUCUCUAAAUCGAUAAAUUGAUAAAUUUUCUUACGGGCAAAUUUGUUCUCUGUUCCGAGUGAAUAGUGAUCUUUUGAUGUUUCUAAUUGUCAAUCAUGAAGAUACAUUGAAGAAACAAAUAAUAUUUCUGAUUUUGUCUGCCAUUUCUUGGUGAUGAUAUAGCGCAGGCUCGUGGAGAAUCCAUUGCUACCAUCUUGCAGACGAUUCAAGGGAUGAUGGAAAUUUUGUUGGAACGUCUAGCAACGUUUCAGUCAGAUGUUGAGAAAUAUUUGCAAAGGAACCGAUAUUUUUCAGAUCGCAUAAAAUGGUGCUGCUGCCAGUGACGACGGUGCUUGUUGGAGCAAGGGGAACGAGAACAGAGAGAGAAAGAGAGAAAGGGAGAGAAAAUUCGACGGUGUGGAAGAGAGAACGACCGAGGGGAGAAGAAUGGAGAGGACGGAAGGUCGUGGAACGAGAGAGAAAGAGACGGAAACAGAGACAGAGAUGUGCCGGCUGGCAAGCAGAUGGUUGCGCCGUUUAUUGGUUUAUUCGUCGGUUCAGCCAUCACGUCCCGUCCAGCCAUCAGACCAGCCGGUGUUCCUCUUUGUAUUCCUCGCGUUCAGAACUUAACCACCCGGGCCUUAUCUACUCGCCUUCGACCAUGAUACGAC
Long non-coding RNA from Frieseomelitta varia, 1064 nucleotides. RefSeq lists it as uncharacterized. Lineage: Eukaryota; Metazoa; Arthropoda; Insecta; Hymenoptera; Apidae. The transcript has 3 exons. The record is from RefSeq and is a predicted model, not a curated record.